Molecule: long non-coding RNA, 512 nt
Filed under: Olea europaea subsp. europaea
Lineage: Eukaryota; Viridiplantae; Streptophyta; Magnoliopsida; Lamiales; Oleaceae
Source: RNAcentral
GGACCAAUAAAUUUUCUACAUUCUUCUAAUGCUUCUGAAAUUGAAUAAAAUCCUUUGUAAAGAGGAUUUGGAAAAUUCUUAAUACAGUCUGAAACUUCUAAUCAGGUAUGGUAAAUUCCUGGAAGUCUUCCAUUUAAAACAACAUAACAUUUAAAUUGUUUAUGAUCUUGACUAAAAUGUUUUGAGAGAGCAUUUAAACAUGCUAAAAAAUAUUUUUGGUCUUUUGGGUUCUUAUUGUAAGAAAUCCAUAAAUUAUCUAAAAUACAUUUUUCUGCCUUUGUUACUGAAAUAUGAAAAAGUGUCUUAAAACUAAUAUUGCUAUUAGGAAAACAAAGAAGUUCUAUAUUACCAAAUCUUAACUUAUCAUGAGUCUGGAGUAUAUUAUUCUGAGAACUGGAACUGCCAACAAUUGGCAAUCCUGGUCUGGGACCUCUUGGUCUUUGCAUCUGCAAUAAAUAGUUAGUCAUAAUCUUUAUUUUUAAUUAUUCUACUUAAAAUAUCUGCUAUCUGAU